This 269-nucleotide long non-coding RNA is filed under the name Callithrix jacchus (white-tufted-ear marmoset). RNAcentral describes it as "lncRNA (ENSCJAG00000079739.1)". Lineage: Eukaryota; Metazoa; Chordata; Mammalia; Primates; Cebidae. The record is from RNAcentral.
AACAUUUUGGUGAAUUAAGUGUAAAUGAAUCAGGAAACACACGGAUUUUAUUUCCCUUGCCAUAUGCGUGGGUUUAAAAAUUAAUGGAAAAAAGUUCUUGGCACAACAUGUUUUGAAUUUUAUUUGACUUUUUUCUCUUAUGAUCUCUGGAAGAUGGAAGCUGAGGAAUGAUGAAGACAGUGGAAUCAAAGGAAAUUCAUGAAGUUUGGUGUUUUACACAUGGCCCCACCCAUCUUCAGCAACAUUGAUUAAAACUCAUGAAGUUACUG